UAUAAAAUAAUAUUUAUAGAGUUACCGGUAAAUAAUUUUUGUAGCGUAAAAACUAAAUAAAUUCAUACAUACUGUAAUACAGAUCACCAAAGUAUAAAAUUUAAUUUACAGUGACACGUGGGCCCACGAACGACCAAAAGUAUCAAAAGCGAUAAACUUACAAUUUUUUAGGAUGCAAGUCCAAUUGUAGCCCUCAACAAAGUGAGCUAUCUACCGACUAUCCUGAGCCUGAAAUGGGUGGAAAGAAGGGUGGUGAGAUUAUAUAAUCCUAGUGAGUAAACAAAUAUCAUCUAAAAUAUCUAAAGCUGAGUAAAUGAAGACAGAUUAAAAUAGAUCAUCAUACUGUAGUUCAUCACCUUUCAACUCAUUUCAACCAAAUAAAAUCAAUUCAUAUAAAUUGAGUAAUCAACAUGGCCUAUGAAUUUCUUAAAACUUUAGCUCGUGCCAAAAUCAUUCUCAUACUCAGUUGUCAAGGAUACCUUGGCCUGGGGCUAUCCCAAUCGAGUCCGCCAAGGCUGUUGAAAAGUCAUGUACGCAUAAAUCAUGUUUUUAUUUUGAAAACAUAGUCAUUCCUUGACGUUGGCUAAGUUCACCCUCACGUGGUGGUUUGGCGCGAAGUGAACUCUAAAGUUGUACCUUGGGAGUUACCCUACACGCCUCUCCAAUCGAGGUAAGAAUAUAAUGGGGUUACCGUGCCCCUCUAAUAGGCUGGUCCACGGAAUCCGCCCACUGCAGCAAGCUAAACCCACCAAAUCAAUAAAAUCUCAACCGCAUGACAUGGCAAUUAUAUCNUCUCAAGGCAAAUUAACAUUUCAUAUAUUUUCAACACAAAUACCAAUUAAGCCAUUCAUGCAAAUAUUGGUCAUAAGCCAUUCGAUUCAAAUUAUGAAUUUACAACACAUGAAAACAGUCUCCAAUUACUCUAUUUUCAAACCAUUAUUCAAUUUCAAGACAAUGUUAUAAAAUCAUAUCAUUAAAUCACAUUUUAAUUAGAAAACACAAAGAUUUUACCAUUUAACUCAUUUUCCCAUAAAAUCACAAAAUCGGAUAAAAACCACUUUAGAUAAUUAAGAUGAUAGUAGGGUUACUCACUGUAAUGGGAAUCGAAUUCCAAGUACUCUGAUUCUUGAUCCUCGGGUACUAUCUCUUUACUUUUCCCAAAAUGCUCACUACCUUGACAUAAUGCACAAUAAGUCAUUUACUACAUUUGUGCUAAACCGUUGUAAAACCAAUUCAGGCUUUAUACUAAUGCAUGAAAUGGGAUGUAAAUUGUUCGGAUUAUCGUCUAAACACGAUGUUCUACACAAAUUCAAUUGUGUACCUAAAUAAAACGGUAUUGGCCUAAUUCAAUCUAUCACUCGAUUAAUUGGCCAAUAUGUCCAAUUUAACUCCAAUUAACUCCAUUUUUCUUCCAAUUCUCCAAACCAUCAAACACAAGUCAAAUAGCAUAAAAUUUAGCAAAAUUAUCUUCACAUUUUCUCUUGGGAAUUUCGGCUAUGGUGGGUGCAUCAGCACUAUAAUUUUUUCUACUUGAACUUCUCACCGUAUUCAUCAUUUCCUAACCAAUUCACUUGAAAUAAAAUCAAAUCCACCAUCCACACUCUACAUGGAAGAUUCAGCCACUGAUGGGUGAUGGGAUAAAGUGAAUGUUUCUUGUUUGUUUUUCAUGCUACACAUCACUAACUAACUAAAAACACUAAAAUACAUUGAAAUCUAACCAAAUCCAAGUUCAAAACUCCUCCCCCCAUAUCCGGCCAGCAAGGGUAUCCUCAUGCAAACUUGAUUCUCAACCAUGGAAAAUGAAAAAGAAUGCAUAGGAAAGGUAAAUCACAAGCUAGAAUUGAAAAAUCUUACCUUUUGUCACUUGAUUCUUUGAAAUUUUAUGAAUUUCUCUUGAAUUUCUUAGCUAGUUUUUUGUUCUUCUUCUUUUCUUUCCUUUUCUUCCUUUGGCCGGCCAAGAGAAAUGAG
RNAcentral lists this long non-coding RNA (1968 nucleotides) under Theobroma cacao (cacao). Its description in RNAcentral is "long non-coding RNA (TCAC_LNC003226)". The record is from RNAcentral. Lineage: Eukaryota; Viridiplantae; Streptophyta; Magnoliopsida; Malvales; Malvaceae.